This 420-nucleotide ribosomal RNA is filed under the name uncultured bacterium. Its description in RNAcentral is "bacterial SSU rRNA". It matches the Rfam family "Bacterial small subunit ribosomal RNA", at positions 356 to 773 of the family's 1533-position model. The record is from RNAcentral.
GAGGAAUAUUGCGCAAUGGAGGAAACUCUGACGCAGCCACGCCGCGUGCAGGAAGAAGGUCCUAUGGAUCGUAAACUGCUUUUAUUCGGGACGAAUGGGAAGGUUUCGACCUUGAGUGACGGUACCGAUUGAAUAAGCACCGGCUAACUCCGUGCCAGCAGCCGCGGUAAUACGGAGGGUGCAAGCGUUGUCCGGAAUCAUUGGGUGUAAAGGGUGCGUAGGCGGGUUUUUAAGUCUGGGGUGAAAGUCUGCGGCUCAACCGUAGGAUUGCCUUGGAUACUGGAGACCUUGAGUGUAACAGAGGCCGGUAGAAUUCGUGGUGUAGCGGUGAAAUGCAUAGAUAUCACGAAGAAUACCAGUGGCGUAGGCGGCCGGCUGGGUUACAACUGACGCUGAGGCACGAGAGCGUGGGGAGCAAAC